UAUUUAUAGUUAUGUUCUUAAAACUUAAAGAAUUUGGCGGUAUUAUAAUCUAUUUAGAGGAAUUUGUUAAGUAAUCGAUAAUCCACGUUGAAUCUUACUUAUAUAAAUUCUUGUAUAUCGCUGUUUAAGAAAAUAUUUUUAGAUAAAUUUUCUUAAUAAAUUAAUAUUUAAUAUUUCAAGUCAAGGUGCAGUUAUAUAUAAGUUGAAUAAUGAAUUACAAUAAAUUUUAUUUAAUAUGAAUGGUUUAUGGAAUAAAAGCUUGAAGGUGGAUUUAAUUGUAAAUUUAUGAAGAUUAAUAAAUUGAUUAUAGCUCUAUAGUAUGUACACAUCGC
This 332-nucleotide ribosomal RNA is filed under the name Photiomantis planicephala. RNAcentral's name for it is "partial 12S ribosomal RNA". Lineage: Eukaryota; Metazoa; Arthropoda; Insecta; Mantodea; Mantidae. The record is from RNAcentral.